CCUACGGGUGGCAGCAGUGGGGAAUCUUCCACAAUGGGCGAAAGCCUGAUCGAGCAACGCCGCGUGGGUGAAGAAGGUCUUCGGAUCGUAAAACUCUGUUGUCAGAGAAGAAAGAGAGUGAGAGUAACUGCUCACGAGCCGACGGUAACUAACCAGAAAGCGACGGCUAACUACGUGCCAGCAGCCGCGGUAAUACGUAGGUGGCAAGCGUUAUCCGGAUUGAUUGGGCGUAAAGGGAGAGCAGGCGGGCUUUUAAGUCUGACGUGAAAGCCUUCGGCUUAACCGGAGUAGUGCAUUGGAAACUGGGAGACUUGAGUGCAGAAGAGGAAAGUGGAACUCCAUGUGUAGCGGUGAAAUGCGUAGAUAUAUGGAGGAACACCAGUGGCGAAGGCGGCUCUCUGGUCUGUAACUGACGCUGAGGUUCGAAAGCGUGGGUAGCAAACAGGAUUAGAUACCCUUGUAGUC
Molecule: ribosomal RNA, 465 nt
Filed under: uncultured bacterium
Lineage: Bacteria
Description: partial 16S ribosomal RNA
Rfam family: Bacterial small subunit ribosomal RNA
Source: RNAcentral